Zalophus californianus (California sea lion) is the source of this 2152-nucleotide long non-coding RNA. RefSeq lists it as uncharacterized. The record is from RefSeq and is a predicted model, not a curated record. NCBI's taxonomy places the organism in Eukaryota, Metazoa, Chordata, Mammalia, Carnivora, Otariidae. The transcript has 16 exons.
AUAAAUAUUGGAGUAUUGCCAAGUGUUACAUUUAUUAAUGCAUUUAUGAUAGAUUAAGAAUGAUUAAUGAAAAAGAUUAUAUCAAUGUGAUAAAUGAUUCUAGGGACAGAUGUAGAAUAUUCAAUGUUCUUAUUCAUUUUUUUGUGAAUCAUUGGGUUUUUAGAAUUAAUAUUAGUGAAUUAAGGAAUUAAUGAAAUAAUAUACAGAAAAUGAAGAAAAAGGGGCUGAAAUAUGGACCAGUGAUGACAGCUGGUGGCGUAGGAGUCAUGGACGAUGAAUACUAUGUGUCUGGAACUCUGAGGUCCAAUGCAAAAGGAAGUAUAAUCUAUUACCUGUCUCAAAUUAUUAUAUAGACUGAUUUUAGAACUGUAAAGGGACCAUUUUCUUAUACUGUUUUCUUGAAUUUUGAUUCUUUUAUUAUUAAUGGUCAAUUUAAGAAUCAAUGUACAAAUACUGAAAAGUAAAAAUGCAGAGCAUGAGGCAUAUGCACUCUUAAUGUACAUGGUGAAGCAAUAAAAACCAAAGGUAUUGAAUAUACUGAAUUCCAUUAAGAAAAAUAAAUGGUUCAUGUACCUUACCUCUUUAGUGCGCGGUAAUAGAGAAGUUCUUAUUCUGGGUCAGUAGCAAGUAUGAUAUUAAUGCAUUUUUUAAUAGAAAAUUAAUAAGCAUGAUUGCAAAUUAAUGUAUUUUCAAAUGAUUGACUCCGUGUAAAGUGGAGUGUGCAGAACACGGGAGAUAACAUUUCGGUCUUACUCUCAUCUACUUUGCUUUGUGCUUCUCAGAAAGAAGACACCUGACCUGGUGUAAGCAUCCCCCAUGUUCAGGCACUCCAGGCUAGCCUCUCCGUGUGGGAGCAUGAAGCCCAACAAUCAACACACUCGAGCUGAUGUAAGCAUUUUCCAUGGUCAAAAGGUCUGUGAUUUCCUGCAUGCUCUGAGCAUAGAGAUGAAUAAUGGACUCACUCCAGUAGUUGUAAAUACUUCCAUGAUUAUGUGCUCUCUGGUUGCAACUGUGAAUUUGGAGCAUAGAGACCAAUAAUGGAUGCACUCACGCUGAUUUAAACAUUCUUCCGUGACCACAAGUUCUAUGGCUGUGUCUAUGUGUUGGAGAAUGGAGAUUAACGUUGGCACCACAGUUUAUAAGCAUUCUUCUGUGGAAAAGAACUAAGUUGUUAAAUCAAUGAAACAACUCCGAGAAAGAUAUAAGAGCGGGCGCCCUCAAGCUCAUUAAAGCACCUUCACGUGGCAGAGCUCUGCGGCUGCAUCUGUGUCUUAGGAGCAUAGAGAACAAUAAUGGAUGUGUUCCAGUUAAUUUAAAAUCUUCCAUGGUCAGGAGCUCUAUGGAUUUAGGAGCAUGGGGACCAGUAAUGGAUCUGUCAUGCAGAUUUAAGGAUUCUUCCUUGGUCACGAGACCUCAGGCUGCAUUCACCUGUUAGGUUCGUGGAGACCAUAAUGGUCACCCUCGGCUGAUUGAAGCAAUCCACCGUAGUCAUGAGCUCUGUGGUUGCAUCUAUGUGUGAAGAGCAUGGAGCACAAUAACAGAUGCUUGAGCUGAUGUCAGCUUCUGCCAUGACCAAGAUUGUGAUGCUUCCUUUGAGUAUGGAAAGAGACAAGAAUGAACUCACUGGAGAUGAUUCAGCACCUUCUAUGGGCACGAGUUCUGUGGUUGCCUCUGUAUAAUAGGAGGAUGGAGAUUAAUAAGAAACCCUGGACCUGAUUUAAAGAUUUUUCCUUGAUCCUGACCUCUAGGGUUGCAUCUAUUUUAGGAGAUUGGAGUCCAGUAAUAGAAGCUCAAGGUGAUUUCUACCUUUAUUGUGAUCAAGGUCACCAUGUUUCCCUUUUAUAGGAAAGAGACCAACAAUGGACACAUUCGAGCUAACCGAGCAUUGUUGCGUGGUAGUGAGCUCUAUGACAGCACCUGUAGGACAGAAGCACAGAGACCAAUAACAGACACACCACACCUGAGUUGAGGAUUCUUCCUUGAUCAUGGACUCCGGGGUUACAUCUCUAUUUUAGGCGUUGGAAGACCAAUAAUGGAUGCUCUAGCUGAUUUCAUCUUCUGCUCUGAUCAAGAUUGUUAUGUUGCUUUUGUAUUAGGAGAGUAAAGCAAGGUGAGUAGUAAUAGAGGUUCUGUCUUGGUUUCGGUCAUUUGU